UUAAAAUUUUUUUUUUUUGUUUUGCCAAAAAUGUUCUUCAGUGGAUAUGAAAUCUUAAUAUAAUUGUUGUUGUCAUUGUUUGUGUUUAAUUUUUUAUACAAAAUUAUCAAUGCUUGUCAAGUCAUAUUUAUAGCGUGUUGCGAAUGGCAAUUUUUAAUAAGAGGAUCUAUUGUCACAAUGAAAAAACUAGAGUCCUAGACAUAACUGUAAGUCAUGAUGAUGCUAAUUAUUUUUGAUAUAUCUAAAUAAUAAUUAUUAAAUAUUCCAUAACUUUGAUUUAGAUGUCUAUCAUUAAUGAGCUUCAAUCUUAUUUUUGAAAAUGUGAUGGAAUUGGGUAAACAUGAAAUAGUGCUUUAAUUUAAAAACAAGAUAGAACCUGAUAAUAUCACAACUAAAUUCUUAUCUUGACAUAAUGAGAUGCUGUCCUAUAAUUUCAACAUAGAUUAUUAAGACAUGCUUUUUUCAAAAAGGACAACUAUUAUUAAGCAGGCUGGUACUUAUUCAUUUUAAAUCCAUCUGUAUGGAAAUGAAAACUUUAGGAACUUGACAGAUCAUCCAAAACUCUGUGUAGGCAUUUUCCUUAGGGGAUAUAGGUUGGUAUUCCUUCAGGUUCUUUCUCCUACCUGUUUCAGCUUUUAAACGCAUCCUGAAAGCAGCUGUAGUUCCUGACAUGCUACACAGGGAAGCAGCAAAGAGCCAGCAGUCUAGAUGAGACGACAAGCAUUGGGUCAGACUUGUUUGUCCUGGUCCUCCUCAGUCUCCUUUCUAAUUAGGCCUGAUUUGAUUAAGUGAUUUAGUUUAUUGGGGUCCAGAACAUGCAGAAAUAAGAUAAGAUAGCGUAACGUGAGAAAUUGGGGUAGAAAUGGCUCAAUUGAUUUAAAGACAACUUCCAUAUGAUUCAUUGUAGGCUUUAUGAUCCAACCCUCAUUCAGAACAUCCUUCCUGCAUGUGCAUAUGUGAAGACGCAGGUUCACCGCAGCUCUGCCCAGGCGGACAUCUGCUGCCGGUCAAAGGGACAGAGACUGAAGGAAUGCAGUGUGUUGAAUUUCACAAAUAACAGAGUGUCUUAUUUGGAUGCGGCCAUUGUGUGUGUGUAUUCAGAAGGGGCCAAACGAAGCGAUGAAGUUUGCCAUUGUCGCCCAGUGUGGGUGUUUUCAGACUCUCUGGCAUGAUGUGUGAGUUAGUGUUCUGUGUUACUGCCCAGUGUGCCCACUGUCUUUCCCACAAUGCGCCAUUCAGCUGUGGGCCUCUCUCUCUGCUCUCGGAUGGAGCUAGAACACAUUUUGUGCUUCUGGCUAAUCAUCAUCACUGGGAUACAAACCACAUUUCUACUUGUUGGAUGAAAUAGCUGUGAUGUCAUCUUUGUUAUCUUUUUCAGGAACUUUUCAUCCUCUCCCUCCUUGCUUCCUACUUUUUCUCUCUCUCUCUCUCCAGCUAUCCCUCUCUCUCUUUCAUUCUGUCUCUUUGAGCUCCCAAACACAAAAGACAGAGAGGCCACGACAGGACCCCAGUGUAAGCUGGUUGACAAGGAGACAGUGUUGGGUCUUUAAACUGCCUCCGAGGGGUGUGUGGAGUUAGGGGGAGUUGGCCUUAUUUACAUGGGAAGAGGACAAGGGAGAGAAAGGGGAGAAAGACGGGUUUGAAAUACAACUUUUGAGCAGCUUACAGGACUAAAAUCACUCCUCCUCCGCUCAGUCAUCAAAUAUUUACCAGGCAGAAGAAAUCUGGAGCUUUUCAUUAAGUGAAUUCAUACAGUGCUGUGAAAAUAUUGAUGUCCCUUUACAGAUUUCUUAUUUUUCUGUCUUGUUUGGUCAAAACCUAAAUAUAUCAGAUCAUCUAUUAACUUUCUAUACCAUACAAAGAUAGCCAGAGUCAAAAUAAAACUCGGUUUUAAGUUGGGAUUAAUCACAUUUUGUUGGCAGGUUCAGUGCAGUUUCGCUCGUCACAUCCAAGCCAAUUAACUGCUUCAUUAAUGACUGGAGAAAUCACUUAAAUUACUGACAUAAACCUACUGCUAAGGAAAUUAGUCCAGAAGCACAACAACGACUCAUCCAUGAGGUCAUAGAAGAACCCAGGACAACAUCUGAAGCACCGCAAGCCUCCUUUACCUCAGUUAAGGUCAGAGUUUAUGAUUAAAAAAGCAGAAGCAGACUGGGCAUAAAAUGGCACCCACAGGAGAGCUUAAAGGUUAAAACCACUGCUAACCAUAAAAGAACACAGAGUUCUGGGCCACAUUUGCCAAAAACAUCCUCCCCAAAGCUCAUGAAAAUGUUGUGUGGACUUAAGAGACAGUUAAGUUGAAGCUGUUUCAUUAUUAUCACAGUCAAACACGGUGGUGGUCUGAAAUGACUGUGUUUUGUAAUUGAUGCAACCAUUGAAUUCGGCUCUUUAUCAGAAAACCUUUUGGGAGAAUGUCCAGACAUCAGUUGGUGAUCUUGACCUCAACAAAACACUAAGUGAAGAUUUUGAAGUGGCCUAGUCCAAGGCUGGGCCUACAUCCAAUUGAGAUGCUAUGAUAUGACACUAAACAGACCUAUCAUCCAAGAAAACCUCAAAUCAACUCUGCAAAAAAGGAUGUGGCUAAAUUCCUUAAAAUGUAAAAGGCUUAUUGCCAGUAAUCCCACUUAAUAAGUAGAACAACUAGCUUUUCCUUUUAGGGGCAAUCUUUAAUAAAUAGGAUAGUUAAGGAUGACUUUGUUUUGCCAUUUGUUCUUGUAUUAUUUAUUUUUGUUUGAUUGAAUGGGUUUUGAGAUAUUUUAGCCUACUUCAUGUGGUCAGCAACAAGUGUGCUGGUGAAGAGGCCAAGGUGUGGCUUUAGUGAAAUUGAAUUGAACUUUCUAAAGAAAAUGUAAAUGACAGGCAAAUGAUUUAAAAAUCACAGAGAUUUUUUUUUCCCACUUAGGGCUCAGUUGAAUAACUUUUUCCCCUUAAAUAAACAACAUUAACAAAAUACUUUUGGUAUGUACUCAGGCCAUUUUUGUCUGACAUCAAAACUAGAUUUGGUACAUUUAAGUUUGACAAACAAAAUAGCCAAACUGGAAGAAAUCUGUGAAAGGCACAUGUUGAACCAACCUGUCUUCCCCUUUCUCUCUCUUCUAUUAUUUGCUUCACGCAGACACUGACACACACAUGCGCACAGUCACACUUCAAUUGUGAGCUGUGGGAGCUGUGGGAACGCUGGGCCCCCGGUGCUGACCGUGCUGAGAGCUGACUGCAGAAUACAUUACCAGCUGCUUUUAAGAGGGUCUCAUUCCAAGAGAACGGGGGGAUGAAAAACAGCACAAAACUGGAGAGAAAACAGGAAAAGCAAAGACGAGAGCACACACACACACAUACCCACCCCAACACUCAUGCAGACCCCUCCCAUUUUAAUCCACACAUACACCAACACACACAGUCACACUUUAAUACCCCCACCCCUCUUCUCGUCUCUCGCUAUCUCCACUCGUGCUUCUUCCUGUCCAGAGGAUUGUCAGCAGUGGUCACAUUAAGUCCUUUCACUGUCCGUGAUCAGGGGGUUGGGGUUGUAGCCACAGAGCAGGAUCAACUCCAAACAUGAAGUUCAAUAUCAGACCUCCCCCCUUUUUCUCCCCUCUCCCACUCCCCAACUUUACAAUGAAAGCAGGAAGGGCAGGGAGAGGACGAAUGAGCCACCCACUGCUGCAUUCACCACUGAGCACCCCCACGUGAUUCUACUUUUUUUCUCCUUUUUUCUGCGUGUGAAACUUUUACAUGAGACUUUAAAGGGAAUUUUUGCUCUCAAACUCCAAAAGCAUGAGGAUUGAACUGUACAAAAAAAGGGAUUUAAAGAUGAGCUCAAGCAAAUAUGUUCGAGGGCGAGCUUGCACAAUCAAUUUUCCUUCAAUUCCCCGGUCAGCUCGGCCUUCAAACCUGCAGCUCCCCUCCCCUUCUUUUUUCUGUUAAACAUGUGCAUGCCUGUGAGAAACCAUGGUGAGCCGGGUGUUUUCUUCUCUCUUAUUACCCACUUGGAUGUGUGUGUGUGUGUGUGAUGUCCACUUGAAUUGCACAGGAAGAAGAAAAAAAAAAACAGAAAAGGAGAAGUGGGAAAAAACACAGUUUGGCCUUUUCCCUGCAUCUUGGCUAAAGAGUCCACUUGGUGUUUUUUUGUUUCAGUCCUCUGUGAAUCUAAAGAGUAUUUGGCGAUUAGUAUGCAGAAAGGAAGCUGUUUUGCAUAAUUAAGUGCUACAGAGAAGAAGCAACAAAGUUUGUUAGUUUUACAUCUAAGAGUUUAAUACUUGAACAAAUAGUUAUUCCUCAGGUAAAAGUUAAAAGAUCAUCAUUCAGCAUGUUUUUUUUUUUUUUUUUUACCAUCUUAGACACACUUUUUAUUCUUUAAAAAGGAGGCAGAGACAGAUACCAUUAAAGUGGUUAAUAAUCACAGAAGUGGUAACAGUUAGUAACCUAAACUUGGCACCAAAGAGUAGAUUAAUGUUGUACUACACUGUUAAUUGUCACACUCGUUGUCGUAUACAAAAAAAAGGCACAAAGGGCAAGCAAUGCUGAUCUCAAAGGCUCAAAAAAGUUAAAACAGAGAACUCCAGUUUAUCAGGAAAUAAGUAUUACUGAUGGCACAUGAAGGAUAGUUUGACCUUAAACUGAUUCUUUUUCCAUAAUGAGGCAUAAUUUCUCUUAUCUGAAAAUGUCAUUUAAUGUUUUGUUUUUUUUUCUGGCGUACAAAAUAGAAUAUAAAAAUACAAUAUCAACUUGGUACAGAAGAUAUGACUGCAUGGUUUUCUUUCAUUUGAAGGCAUCACUUGGUUUGAAUGUGUGAAAGUUAAAACUGUGCGUUUGGACAAAAAGCAGAUACACAUGCAAAACAAGAAGAAAAAAAAACAAACACAAAAACAAAGAGAAAUUUAACACUGUUCUUGUUUUAAAGAUGCUUUUUAGUUGCUGCAUCAUUACUUUAACUCAUACUUAUGACUGCAAACAAAAGUAUUGGCAUCCCUACUGAAAAACACAUGUAAUAUAUAUAUAUAUAUAUAUUUAAAUCAUUUUUAUUGCAGCAGCAUAAUCUCUUAAUGUAAAUUGCAGAAAGCGCCACUCUUUAUCUUCAGCAUAUUUAGUCAGUGGGAAAAAGUCUAACGUUAACAUAAAAAUGUUUUCCCCCAUUUCUUUUGCAGAUAUAGUUUAGUUUCUAAAUUGAAACUUUUAAUCCAUGACCCCAUUUAAUGUGCUAAUAGAGUUCAAAUCUGACAUGACCCAGACUUAUUUCUCUUCAGAAUGGGAGAGAAAAGAGAACAUGCCGUUCAAAUGAAUCAGAUGAGCCAUUUUGAGGUUUACCAAGUCUCCAUUAAAAAAAAAAGAAAA
Long non-coding RNA from Xiphophorus couchianus (Monterrey platyfish), 5331 nucleotides. RefSeq lists it as uncharacterized. Lineage: Eukaryota; Metazoa; Chordata; Actinopteri; Cyprinodontiformes; Poeciliidae. The record is from RefSeq and is a predicted model, not a curated record. The transcript is spliced from 2 exons.